Molecule: ribosomal RNA, 207 nt
Filed under: uncultured bacterium
Lineage: Bacteria
Description: partial 16S ribosomal RNA
Rfam family: Bacterial small subunit ribosomal RNA
Source: RNAcentral
UCCGUAGGCGGUGUGGCAAGUCGGGAGUGAAAUCUCUGGGCUUAACCCAGAGGCUGCUUCCGAAACUGCCGUGCUAGAGUGUGAGAGAGGCGAGUGGAAUUACGGGUGUAGCGGUGAAAUGCGUAGAUAUCCGUAGGAACAUCCGAGGCGAAGGCGGCUCGCUGGAUCACAACUGACGCUGAGGGACGAAAGCUAGGGGAGCAAACA